Paramisgurnus dabryanus is the source of this 150-nucleotide non-coding RNA. The record is from RefSeq and is a predicted model, not a curated record. NCBI's taxonomy places the organism in Eukaryota, Metazoa, Chordata, Actinopteri, Cypriniformes, Cobitidae.
UGGAAAUAAUGGUCAAAGUGCAUCUCUUCCAACAGCCAAUGGAAAUAGUGCUCAAUUCAAAGGUUUUGGAGCUUCAGCCACAGCCAAACAAAAUGGAUAUGGACCUAAUGCCAAUGGAAAUGGAGCUCAGUUCAAAGGUUUCGGAGCUUU